AUGAACGCUGGCGGCGUGCCUAAUACAUGCCAGUCGAGCGAACGGACGAGAAGCUUGCUUCUCUGAUGUUAGCGGCGGACGGGUGAGUAACACGUGGAUAACCUACCUAUAAGACUGGGAUAACUUCGGGAAACCGUAGCUAAUACCGGAUAAUAUUUUGAACCGCAUGGUUCCAAAGUGAAAGACGGUCUUGCUGUCACUUAUAGAUGGAUCCGCGCUGCAUUAGCUAGUUGGUAAGGUAACGGCUUACCAAGGCAACGAUGCAUAGCCGACCUGAGAGGGUGAUCGGCCACACUGGAACUGAGACACGGUCCAGACUCCUACGGGAGGCAGCAGUAGGGAAUCUUCCGCAAUGGGCGAAAGCCUGACGGAGCAACGCCGCGUGAGUGAUGAAGGUCUUCGGAUCGUAAAACUCUGUUAUUAGGGAAGAACAUAUGUGUAAGUAACUGUGCACAUCUUGACGGUACCUAAUCAGAAAGCCACGGCUAACUACGUG
This 496-nucleotide ribosomal RNA is filed under the name uncultured bacterium. RNAcentral's name for it is "partial 16S ribosomal RNA". It matches the Rfam family "Bacterial small subunit ribosomal RNA", at positions 29 to 507 of the family's 1533-position model. The record is from RNAcentral.